AAGUCGUAACAAGGUUUCCGUAGGUGAACCUGCGGAAGGAUCAUUAACAUCUUUUAUUCUCUUUUUGGGUUUUGGUUUUAUUGAGUUAGAUCUUUUGAUUUGAUUCAGUAAUACCUCUACCCAUUCUAACCCCAAACUAUGUGCACUGUGUUGUGCUUUUGUUGUUACGAAAGCACUUCUUUUUUUUACUUCUAUUCAAUAAACCCCUUUUAUUACUACUUCUAGACUGACUUUAAACAACUUGAUUCGUACACUUCAUACUGUACGAUGACCAAUCAUAAUACAACUCUUAGCAACGGAUAUCUAGGCUCUC
RNAcentral lists this unclassified non-coding RNA (313 nucleotides) under fungal sp. RNAcentral's name for it is "partial internal transcribed spacer region". The stretch from base 1 to 46 matches the Rfam family "Eukaryotic small subunit ribosomal RNA", at positions 1786 to 1831 of the family's 1831-position model. The record is from RNAcentral. Lineage: Eukaryota; Fungi.